This 253-nucleotide ribosomal RNA is filed under the name uncultured bacterium. Its description in RNAcentral is "partial 16S ribosomal RNA". It matches the Rfam family "Bacterial small subunit ribosomal RNA", at positions 524 to 776 of the family's 1533-position model. The record is from RNAcentral.
UACGUAGGGGCCGAGCGUUGUCCGGAAUUACUGGGCGUAAAGCGCGCGUAGGCGGCUUUGCAAGUUAGAGGUGAAAGCCCGGAGCUCAACUCCGGAACUGCCUUUAAAACUGCAUCGCUUGAAUCCAGGAGAGGUGAGUGGAAUUCCGAGUGUAGAGGUGAAAUUCGUAGAUAUUCGCAAGAACACCAGUGGCGAAGGCGGCUCACUGGCCCGAUACUGACGCUGAGGCACGAAAGCGUGGGGAGCAAACAGG